RNAcentral lists this ribosomal RNA (39 nucleotides) under Pyricularia oryzae. Its description in RNAcentral is "partial 28S ribosomal RNA". The record is from RNAcentral. Lineage: Eukaryota; Fungi; Ascomycota; Sordariomycetes; Magnaporthales; Pyriculariaceae.
AUACCCGCUGAACUUAAGCAUAUCAAAACGGGGAGCUAG